GAUAAGCUGCCACCGGGUAGCAGAAUGCUGAUUGUGCAUUCGUUUACACAUCGUUAGGCCUUUGAAGAUGUGUAUAACGGGUGCUUCUUUUUA
RNAcentral lists this non-coding RNA (93 nucleotides) under unclassified sequences. The record is from RNAcentral.